Molecule: ribosomal RNA, 434 nt
Filed under: uncultured bacterium
Lineage: Bacteria
Description: bacterial SSU rRNA
Rfam family: Bacterial small subunit ribosomal RNA
Source: RNAcentral
AGAGUUUGAUCCUGGCUCAGAACGAACGCUGGCGGCAGGCUUAACACAUGCAAGUCGAACGCACCGCAAGGUGAGUGGCAGACGGGUGAGUAACGCGUGGGAACCUACCCAAUUCUACGGAACAACUGAGGGAAACUUCAGCUAAUACCGUAUACGCCCUACGGGGGAAAGAUUUAUCGGAGUUGGAUGGGCCCACGUUGGAUUAGCUAGUUGGUGGGGUAAUGGCCUACCAAGGCGACGAUCCAUAGCUGGUCUGAGAGGAUGAUCAGCCACACUGGGACUGAGACACGGCCCAGACUCCUACGGGAGGCAGCUAGUGGGGAAUAUUGGACGAAUGGGCGAAAGCCUGAUCCAAGCCAUGCCGCGUGAGUGAUGAAAGGCCUUAGGGUUGUAAAAGCUUCUUUCAGUGGGGAAGAUAAUGACGUACCCACAGA